This 440-nucleotide ribosomal RNA is filed under the name uncultured bacterium. Its description in RNAcentral is "partial 16S ribosomal RNA". It matches the Rfam family "Bacterial small subunit ribosomal RNA", at positions 338 to 795 of the family's 1533-position model. The record is from RNAcentral.
CCUACGGGAGGCAGCAGUAGGGAAUAUUGCUCAAUGGGGGAAACCCUGAAGCAGCAACGCCGCGUGGAGGAUGAAGGUUUUCGGAUUGUAAACUCCUUUUGUUAGAGAAGAUAAUGACGGUACCUAACGAAUAAGCACCGGCUAACUCCGUGCCAGCAGCCGCGGUAAUACGGAGGGUGCAAGCGUUACUCGGAAUCACUGGGCGUAAAGAGCGCGUAGGCGGGAUAGCAAGUCAGAUGUGAAAUGCUAUGGCUUAACCAUAGAACUGCAUUUGAAACUGGUACUCUAGAGUAUGGGAGAGGUAGGUGGAAUUCUUGGUGUAGGGGUGAAAUGCGUAGAGAUCAAGAGGAAUACUCAUUGCGAAGGCGACCUGCUAGAACAUAACUGACGCUGAUGCGCGAAAGCGUGGGGAGCAAACAGGAUUAGAUACCCUUGUAGUC